Molecule: transfer RNA, 96 nt
Filed under: bacterium
Lineage: Bacteria
Description: tRNA-Sec
Rfam family: Selenocysteine transfer RNA
Source: RNAcentral
GGAGGUGACAGGGGUCCGGUGGCCCCCGCGGUCUUCAAAACCGUUUGCGUCGCGCUUGGCGUGAUGGGUGGGUUCGACUCCCAUUCGCCUCCGCCA